AUGAGUAAGCUAUCGACCGACGCCCUCAAGGAGGCCAUCACCCAGGUGGUGGCGGACGCCAAGGAGAAGAACAGGAAGUUCACCGAGACGGUCGAGCUCCAGAUCGGCCUCAAGAACUACGACCCGCAAAAGGACAAGCGUUUCAGCGGUUCCGUCAAGCUGCCCCAUGUCCCUCGCCCCAAGAUGAGGGUCUGCAUGCUCGGUGAUGCCCAGCAUGUGGGAGAGGCUGAAAAGAUUGGUCUUGAUUCCAUGGAUGUUGAAGCUCUUAAGAAGAUGAACAAGAACAAGAAGCUUGUCAAGAGGCUUGCCAAGAAGUACCAUGCUUUCUUGGCCUCGGAGGCUAUCAUCAAGCAGAUUCCACGUCUCCUUGGUCCUGGUCUCAACAAGGCAGGAAAGUUCCCGACCCUGGUUUCUCACCAGGAGUCUCUGGAAGCCAAGGUGAAUGAGACGAAAGCCACAAUCAAGUUCCAGCUCAAGAAGGUGCUGUGCAUGGGCGUCGCGGUGGGCAACCUGUCGAUGGAGGAGAAGCAGAUCCAGCAGAACAUCCAGAUGAGCGUCAACUUCCUGGUUUCCCUGCUCAAGAAGAAUUGGCAGAACGUGAGGUGCCUGUACAUCAAGAGCACCAUGGGGAAGCCGGUCCGGGUGUUCUAA
RNAcentral lists this ribosomal RNA (651 nucleotides) under Triticum aestivum (bread wheat). RNAcentral's name for it is "partial small subunit ribosomal RNA". Lineage: Eukaryota; Viridiplantae; Streptophyta; Magnoliopsida; Poales; Poaceae. The record is from RNAcentral.